RNAcentral lists this ribosomal RNA (430 nucleotides) under Trochoidea pyramidata. RNAcentral describes it as "partial 16S ribosomal RNA". It matches the Rfam family "Bacterial large subunit ribosomal RNA", at positions 1857 to 2620 of the family's 2925-position model. Lineage: Eukaryota; Metazoa; Mollusca; Gastropoda; Stylommatophora; Geomitridae. The record is from RNAcentral.
UUCUGCUCCAUGGUUGACCUAAAUAGCCGCAGUACUUUGACUGUGCAAAGGUAGCAUAAUCAAUUGGCUCAUAAUUGGAGUCUGGCAUGAAAGGGAACAUAAGUAGUUACUGUCUAUCCGUUUUUAAUAGAAAUUGCUCAGUAGGUGAAAAUACCUAUAUUAAGCUAGCAGACGAGAAGACCCUAGAAAUUUUAUAUAAUAUAAGUACAUAAUUAUUUUUAUUUUGUUGGGGCGACAGAAUAACAAUUAACUUAUUUUAAAUAAUUUGCAUUUAUUGGUAUGUGAAAAUAAAUUACUCUAGGGAUAACAGCAUAAUUCCUUGAUGAGUUUGUGACCUCGAUGUUGGACUAGGGUUUCUAACGAUCAGAAGUUGCUAGAGUAGGCUCUGUUCGAGCUGUUAAUCCCUACGUGAUCUGAGUUUCAGACCGGA